GCCUAAAGCGUCCGUAGCCUGUUCUAUAAGUUUCCGGUUAAAUCCAUUAGCUCAACUAAUGGGCCGCCGAAAAUACUGUGGAACUAGGGAGUGGGAGAGGUAGACGGUAUUCGGUAGGAAGGGGUAAAAUCCUUUGAUCUAUCGAGGACCACCUGUGGCGAAGGCGGUCUACCAGAACACGUUCGACGGUGAGGGAUGAAAGCUGGGGGAGCAAACCGGAUUAGAUACCCGGGUAGUCCCAGCUGUAAACGAUGCAGACUCGGUGAUGCGCUGGCUUGUGGCCAGUGCAGUGCCGCAGGGAAGCCGUUAAGUUUGCCGCCUGGGAAGUACGUACGCAAGUAUGAAACUUAAAGGAAUUGGCGGGGGAGCACCACAAGGGGUGAAGCCUGCGGUUCAAUUGGAGUCAACGCCAGAAAUCUUACCCGGAGAGACAGCAGAAUGAAGGUCAAGCUGAAGACUUUACCAGACAAGCUGAGAGGUGGUGCAUGGCCGUCGCCAGCUCGUGCCGUGAGAUGUCCUGUUAAGUCAGGUAACGAGCGAGAUCCCUGCCUCUAGUUGCCACCAUUACUCUCAGGAGUAGUGGGGCGAAUUAGCGGGACCGCCGCAGUUAAUGCGGAGGAAGGAAGGGGCCACGGCAGGUCAGUAUGCCCCGAA
This 654-nucleotide ribosomal RNA is filed under the name uncultured archaeon. RNAcentral describes it as "bacterial SSU rRNA". It matches the Rfam family "Archaeal small subunit ribosomal RNA", at positions 508 to 1160 of the family's 1478-position model. The record is from RNAcentral.